RNAcentral lists this ribosomal RNA (589 nucleotides) under uncultured Bacteroidales bacterium. RNAcentral describes it as "bacterial SSU rRNA". It matches the Rfam family "Bacterial small subunit ribosomal RNA", at positions 92 to 680 of the family's 1533-position model. The record is from RNAcentral. Lineage: Bacteria; Pseudomonadati; Bacteroidota; Bacteroidia; Bacteroidales.
CGACCGGCGCACGGGUGGUAACAAGUAUCCAACCUGCCGUCUACUCUUGGACAGCCUUCUGAAAGGAAGAUUAAUACAAGAUGGCAUCAUGAGUUCACAUGUUCACAUGAUUAAAGGUAUUCCGGUAGACGAUGGGGAUGCGUUCCAUUAGAUAGUAGGCGGGGUAACGGCCCACCUAGUCUUCGAUGGAUAGGGGUUCUGAGAGGAAGGUCCCCCACAUUGGAACUGAGACACGGUCCAAACUCCUACGGGAGGCAGCAGUGAGGAAUAUUGGUCAAUGGGCGAGAGCCUGAACCAGCCAAGUAGCGUGAAGGAUGACUGCCCUAUGGGUUGUAAACUUCUUUUAUAAAGGAAUAAAGUCGGGUAUGCAUACCCGUUUGCAUGUACUUUAUGAAUAAGGAUCGGCUAACUCCGUGCCAGCAGCCGCGGUAAUACGGAGGAUCCGAGCGUUAUCCGGAUUUAUUGGGUUUAAAGGGAGCGUAGAUGGAUGUUUAAGUCAGUUGUGAAAGUUUGCGGCUCAACCGUAAAAUUGCAGUUGAUACUGGAUAUCUUGAGUGCAGUUGAGGCAGGCGGAAUUCGUGGUGUAGCG